This 212-nucleotide long non-coding RNA is filed under the name Salvia miltiorrhiza (redroot sage). Its description in RNAcentral is "long non-coding RNA (SMIL_LNC010274)". Lineage: Eukaryota; Viridiplantae; Streptophyta; Magnoliopsida; Lamiales; Lamiaceae. The record is from RNAcentral.
GGGCUACAAAGAAUAUCUAUCUCAGUAUGUUGAGAAAGCUAGAUCCAAAGUUGCAUUCAGAGACAACUCAAUCAGAGAAACAAAAGGCUAUGGUGUGCUCAACAUGGGUAACGCCAGUAUCAGUAAUAUUAGCUUUGUUUCUGGUCUUAAACAUAAUCUGUUGUCUGUGAGUCAAUUUUGUGACAGCGGUUUCACAGUGAAGAUCAAAAAGG